Molecule: ribosomal RNA, 274 nt
Filed under: uncultured bacterium
Lineage: Bacteria
Description: partial 16S ribosomal RNA
Rfam family: Bacterial small subunit ribosomal RNA
Source: RNAcentral
AUACGGAGGGAGCAAGCGUUAUUCGGAAUCACUGGGCGUAAAGGACGCGUAGGCGGGUUUGUAAGUCAGGUGUGAAAUCCUACAGCUCAACUGUAGAACUGCACUUGAAACUACAGACCUAGAGUAUGGAAGGGGCAGAUGGAAUUAGUGGUGUAGGGGUAAAAUCCGUAGAUAUCACUAGGAAUACCGAAAGCGAAGGCGAUCUGCUGGGACAUUUCUGACGCUGAGGCGUGAAAGCGUGGGGAGCAAACAGGAUUAGAAACCCCAGUAGUCC